RNAcentral lists this ribosomal RNA (448 nucleotides) under uncultured bacterium. RNAcentral describes it as "bacterial SSU rRNA". It matches the Rfam family "Bacterial small subunit ribosomal RNA", at positions 331 to 793 of the family's 1533-position model. The record is from RNAcentral.
CCAGACUCCUACGGGAGGCAGCAGUGGGGAAUAUUGCACAAUGGGGGGAACCCUGAUGCAGCAAUGCCGCGUGAAGGAUGAAGGUUUUCGGAUUGUAAACUUCUUUUGUACGGGACGAAGAAAGUGACGGUACCAUAGGAGGAAGCCCCGGCUAACUACGUGCCAGCAGCCGCGGUAAUACGUAGGGGGCGAGCGUUGUCCGGAAUUACUGGGCGUAAAGAGAGCGUAGGCGGCACUACAAGUCUCAUGUGAAAUGCCCGGGCUUAACUUGGGGGUUGCAUGGGAAACUGUAGAGCUUGAGUACAGGAGAGGCAAGCGGAAUUCCUAGUGUAGCGGUGAAAUGCAUAGAUAUUAGGAGGAACACCAGUGGCGAAGGCGGCUUGCUGGACUGAAACUGACGCUGAGGCUCGAAAGCGUGGGGAGCAAACAGGAUUAGAUACCCCAGUAC